GCGGGUGUAGCUCAAUUGGUAGAGCGCCUGACUGUGGAUCAGGUCAUUACCGGUUCAAAUCCGGUCACUCGCC
Molecule: transfer RNA, 73 nt
Filed under: Acidobacteriota bacterium
Lineage: Bacteria; Pseudomonadati; Acidobacteriota
Description: Acidobacteria bacterium (wastewater metagenome) tRNA-His
Rfam family: tRNA
About the family: Transfer RNA (tRNA) molecules are approximately 80 nucleotides in length. Their secondary structure includes four short double-helical elements and three loops (D, anti-codon, and T loops). Further hydrogen bonds mediate the characteristic L-shaped molecular structure. tRNAs have two regions of fundamental functional importance: the anti-codon, which is responsible for specific mRNA codon recognition, and the 3' end, to which the tRNAs corresponding amino acid is attached (by aminoacyl-tRNA synthetases). tRNAs cope with the degeneracy of the genetic code in two manners: having more than one tRNA (with a specific anti-codon) for a particular amino acid; and 'wobble' base-pairing, i.e. permitting non-standard base-pairing at the 3rd anti-codon position.
Source: RNAcentral